AACGAACGCUGGCGGCAUGCCUAACACAUGCAAGUCGAACGAGACCUUCGGGCCUUGUGGCGCACGGGUGCGUAACGCGUGGGAACCUGCCCUUAGGUUCGGAAUAACUCCCCGAAAGGGGUGCUAAUACCGGAUAAUGUCUUCGGACCAAAGAUUUAUCGCCUUUGGAUGGGCCCGCGUUGGAUUAGCUAGUUGGUAGGGUAAAAGCCUACCAAGGCGACGAUCCAUAGCUGGUCUGAGAGGAUGAUCAGCCACACUGGGACUGAGACACGGCCCAGACUCCUACGGGAGGCAGCAGUGGGGAAUAUUGGACGAUGGGCGAAAGCCUGAUACAGCCAUGCCGCGUGAGUGAUGAAGGCCUUAGGGUUGUAAAGCUCUUUUACCCGGGAUGAUAAUGACAGUACCGGGUGAAUAAGCUCCGGCUAACUCCGUG
This 433-nucleotide ribosomal RNA is filed under the name uncultured bacterium. RNAcentral describes it as "partial 16S ribosomal RNA". It matches the Rfam family "Bacterial small subunit ribosomal RNA", at positions 29 to 507 of the family's 1533-position model. The record is from RNAcentral.